CACACGAAAGAAAGGCGACAAAAUCCAAACUAUUUUUUUUUAUUAUAAUUCCAAAUCGUGUCCGAAAUGAAAAUUGUGUUUGCAGUGAGUGUGUCAAACUAAUUUGGCAAAAUAAUAAAUGAAUUGGUAGGGGCAGCAACCACCACGCCACGCCACUGGCUAUCAUAAUUAAUUUUGAUUUAUAACAAAAUUAUUUGAUCACAAUGACGACAUUAUUUUACACACACUAUCAUCAUACCUCACACACAUCAAUAAAAUAAAUUUAGAUAAUUCAACUGAAAUCAGCGGUUAGAUGUGUGUGUACUAUUUCAAAAAUUUAAUUUUAGUAUCAACAACGCGUAUUUUUACGCUUUUCUCGCGAGAGAACAGGAAAAUAUAACAAAUAAAAAUUGCAUUGUUUAAAGCACUAAAAAUUUAUGACAGAUUAAAAAUAUAUAAUACAUAUUUAGCAAGCGUUUUCGAAGACGUGAAAAUAUAAAACCUAUUUAGUGACACGCACACAACGAAAAGAUAAACGCAAAUGAAAAUUAUCAACCAAAAUUAUUUCUAUGAUCUACAAUUCUAUCUUUCAUUAAAACCAUAAGAAAGAAUGGCAAAGUAUUUUUUUUCUAUGGUUAUUACUGGAUGGUUUAUCUUAAAAAUAUAAUACCUUUUUAGUAUAUUAAACGUAAUAUUAUGAUUAUUCAUACUGCGAAAACAACCCUUUUUACAGUGUAUCAUUUCCAAAUAAUAUAACCACAAAUAAAUCACUACACGCGAUUUGUCUUCUCGUUAGAAUAUUGUUUGUUUUACCAUAAUUGUAGAUGUACAAACUUUUUCUUAUAAACUUUUUUCUUUUAAAAUGCUGCCUUUUAAUUUUCAAUUACUACUGUCAGCUCACUUUCCCUAUAAUGGGAUGAUAAUUAAUCGUCCCUAUAAUAAUAUUAUAAUUGUAUAUCUUAUUCAAAUUAUCUUAAUCAUUGACGAAAUACUUUUAUAACACUUGACGUUGAUUCAGUUCUUUUUUUUCAAAUAAAUUCAUUAAUUAAAUGGUUUUAUUUUACUUGCUUAUAAGAACACAAUUAUUUUGGAUUUUUAUAUCAGUAAAGAUAUAUAAAAAGUGUGUGUGUGUGUGUGUGUGUGUGUGUGUGCAAUUCACACACGGAAGAAGUGAAACUUCUGGAAAAGUCGUAGGAAGAUAAGUCAUUGCUAUAUGUUCUAUCAACUAUGAUCACGGUCUCGUGGAAAAAGAUCGUAAGCGCCAUACAAACCGCGCCUCUGACGCGUUCUGAUUGGUAAUGUAUUCAAUCUCGUUAUCUCAUAUACAUUUAUGCUUUUGUUUCUUUAUCGAGUUUCAAAUCACAACGAUCCUAAGGAAAUUUCACUUCAAGAAAAAAAACUUUUUUCCCAUUUCAGGUGUUUACGCGUAAUUCCAAAAUCCACAUCAUAAUUAUUAUUUUAUUAAUAAUGAACCAUUCUAUUUUAAUACUAGCUGACCCGGCAAACGUUGUCUUGCCGCUAAACGCUAUUUAAAAAUAGGG
Molecule: unclassified non-coding RNA, 1520 nt
Filed under: Melitaea cinxia (Glanville fritillary)
Lineage: Eukaryota; Metazoa; Arthropoda; Insecta; Lepidoptera; Nymphalidae
Description: misc RNA ENSMCXG00005021505.1
Source: RNAcentral